RNAcentral lists this ribosomal RNA (3071 nucleotides) under Caloramator sp. RNAcentral describes it as "23S ribosomal RNA". It matches the Rfam family "Bacterial large subunit ribosomal RNA". Lineage: Bacteria; Bacillati; Bacillota; Clostridia; Eubacteriales; Clostridiaceae. The record is from RNAcentral.
UCAAGCUACAAAGGGCGCAUGGUGGAUGCCUUGGCACCAGGAGCCGAAGAAGGACGUGGUAAGCUGCGAAAAGCUGCGGGUAGCCGCAAACAGGCUGUGAUCCGCAGAUGUCCGAAUGGGGGAACCCACCUAUUGAACAAUAGGUAUCCUUAACUGAAUCCAUAGGUUAAGGAGGGCACACCCGGGGAACUGAAACAUCUAAGUACCCGGAGGAAAAGAAAGAAUAAUCGAUUCCCUAAGUAGCGGCGAGCGAAAGGGGAAGAGCCCAAACCAGAGGAAACUCUGGGGUUGAGGACAGGUCAUAAAGGUUUAAAAUCUCUAGCCGAAGAGGCCUGGAAAGGCCGGCCACAGAAGGUAAAAGCCCUGUAGGCGAAAGAGAAUUUAAGCUGGACCUGAUCCAGAGUACCACGGGACACGUGAAACCCUGUGGGAAGCAGGGAGGACCACCUCCCAAGGCUAAAUACUACCUGGUGACCGAUAGCGUAUAGUACCGUGAGGGAAAGGUGAAAAGAACCCCGGGAGGGGAGUGAAAGAGAACCUGAAACCGUGUGCCUACAAGCAGUCGGAGGGCGUUAAGGCCUGACGGCGUGCUUUUUGUAGAACGAGCCAGCGAGUUACGGUAUGUAGCGAGGUUAAGCACUUAAGGUGUGAAGCCGUAGGGAAACCGAGUCUGAAUAGGGCGAUAAGUUGCAUGCCGUAGACCCGAAACCGGGUGACCUAUCCAUGGACAGGGUGAAGGUGAGGUAAAACUCACUGGAGGCCCGAACCACGUUGGUGUUGAAAAACCAUGGGAUGAGCUGUGGAUAGCGGAGAAAUUCCAAUCGAACUCGGAGAUAGCUGGUUCUCCCCGAAAUAGCUUUAGGGCUAGCCUCGGGUUAGAGACGUGGAGGUAGAGCACUGAAUGGGCUAGGGGCCGUCUAGGUUACCGAACCUUAUCAAACUCCGAAUGCCAUGAUCUUGAUGCCCGGGAGUCAGACUACGAGUGAUAAGAUCCGUGGUCAAAAGGGAAACAGCCCAGACCAUCAGCUAAGGUCCCAAAGUGUAUGUUAAGUGGAAAAGGAUGUGGGAUUUCCAAGACAACCAGGAUGUUGGCUUAGAAGCAGCCAUUCAUUUAAAGAGUGCGUAAUAGCUCACUGGUCGAGAGGUCCUGCGCCGAAGAUGUCCGGGGCUCAAACAUACCACCGAAGCUAUGGAUUUUGGAGGUUGGAUGUUGGAGGUUAGAAGUUAGAGUGUAUAGAAGAUAAAGAUAAAAAGAGAGAACAAAGCGUGCUAACGCACGAAGUGCUCUAACAUCUAGGUUGGAAAAAGAAAUAUUUAAUUAAGGUAUUUAAGUAAGCAUAAAGAUAUAAUUCCAACAUCUAACAUCUAACAUCCAACCUCUAAGAGUGGUAGGGGAGCUUUCUUAGCGGGUAGAAGUCAGACCGGAAGGACUGGUGGACUGCUAAGAAGUGAGAAUGCUGGCAUAAGUAGCGAGAAAUAGGUGAGAAUCCUAUUCGCCGAAAACCUAAGGUUUCCUCAGGAAGGCUCGUCCGCUGAGGGUUAGUCGGGACCUAAGCCGAGGCCGAAAGGCGUAGGUGAUGGACAAUCGGUUGAUAUUCCGAUACCACCAGUAGCCGUUUGAGAGAUGGGGUGACGCAGGAGGAUAGGCUGAGCACACUGAUGGAUAUGUGUGUCCAAAGCACGAGGUAUGCCUCUUAGGCAAAUCCGGGAGGAUAAGCUGAGUGCUGACGGGGAGUCGUAAGACGAAGCAGCUGAUUUCACACUGCCGAGAAAAGCCUCUAUCGAGGAUGCUGGUGCCCGUACCGCAAACCGACACAGGUAGGUGAGGAGAGAAUCCUAAGGCGAGCGGGAGAACCCUUGUUAAGGAACUCGGCAAAUUGACCCCGUAACUUCGGGAGAAGGGGUGCCUACCGAAAGGUAGGCCGCAGAGAAUAGGCCCAGGCGACUGUUUAGCAAAAACACAGGUCUCUGCUAAGUCGAAAGACGAUGUAUAGGGGCUGACGCCUGCCCGGUGCUGGAAGGUUAAGGGGAAAGGUUAGCGCAAGCGAAGCUUUGAACCGAAGCCCCAGUAAACGGCGGCCGUAACUAUAACGGUCCUAAGGUAGCGAAAUUCCUUGUCGGGUAAGUUCCGACCCGCACGAAUGGCGUAACGACCUGGGCGCUGUCUCAACAAGGGACCCGGCGAAAUUGUAGUACAAGUGAAGAUGCUUGUUACCCGCGAUUGGACGGAAAGACCCCGUAGAGCUUUACUGCAGCUUAGCAUUGAGUUUCGGUAUUGUCUGUACAGGAUAGGUGGGAGGCAGAGAAGUAGCGUCGCCAGGCGCUAUGGAGCCGACGUUGGGAUACCACCCUGAUGAUACUGAAGCUCUAACCGGAGGCCAUGAAUCUGGUCACGGGACAUUGUUAGGCGGGCAGUUUGACUGGGGCGGUCGCCUCCUAAAGAGUAACGGAGGCGCCCAAAGGUUCCCUCAGUGCGGUUGGAAAUCGCGCGUAGAGUGCAAAGGCAGAAGGGAGCCUAACUGUGAGACUGACAAGUCGAGCAGUGACGAAAGUCGGGCUUAGUGAUCCGGUGGUACCGAGUGGAAGGGCCAUCGCUCAACGGAUAAAAGCUACCUCGGGGAUAACAGGCUGAUCUCCCCCAAGAGUCCACAUCGACGGGGAGGUUUGGCACCUCGAUGUCGGCUCGUCGCAUCCUGGGGCUGAAGUAGGUCCCAAGGGUUGGGCUGUUCGCCCAUUAAAGCGGCACGCGAGCUGGGUUCAGAACGUCGUGAGACAGUUCGGUCCCUAUCCGUCGCGGGCGUAGGAAAUUUGAGAGGAGCUGUCCUUAGUACGAGAGGACCGGGAUGGACGAACCUCUGGUGCACCAGUUGUCACGCCAGUGGCACAGCUGGGUAGCCAUGUUCGGAAGGGAUAAGCGCUGAAGGCAUCUAAGCGCGAAGCCCACCUCAAGAUGAGAUUUCCCAUAGCGUAAGCUAGUAAGACCCCUGGAAGAACACCAGGUUGAUAGGCCAGAGGUGUAAGCGUCGUGAGGCGUUUAGCUGACUGGUACUAAUAGGUCGAGGGCUUGAUCA